CUGACAUGCCCUCUUAAGGAGGGCUCGGCUCUCUGCUGGUGUUUGCUGCCUGUGCUGGGCUGGGGCAGAGGGGUGCCCACCGGGGCAGAGCCCACCCUGCCAGUAUAGACUCUGGGAGGACUAAGGGUGUGGUGGGCAUGCAGUGGUUGUGGAGGGCCGCCCUGCAGGCUUCUAACACCCACCUAUCUGAUGCAGAUGGUAAGAGCUGAGGGUCUGCAGAGAGCUGGCAGGCAAAUGAGAUAGGGGGCAGCAGAGAGAAAGGGGGAGCAGAGGAGGCCAGCGGAGGCCCAGCGUGGAAAAGGGAGGAGUCACAGAGGAGAGGCUAGCUGGGUCAAGUGGAAGGACCCCACACCAGGCCGCAGGACCAGGCACCGGGACCUCAGGCCUCCACCAGGAGGCACCAGACUGACCGGAAUGAUAACGACUUGCAGCGCUGUGUUGGCGUCCCCAACCACCCCUGUUUUCUGACAACAAGGGAGCGCAGAGACCGGAGCGCUGAACCCAAAUCCCUCAGCAGUUGCACUUCAUUAAGUCAAAAUGUGACAAGAAGCUUAGAGAGCAACUUGCAGAUCUGAUCGCACAGAACAAUCAGGAAACUUUCUAGGAGUUGGUUGGGGCUAGGGGAAGGGGGGAGGGGCAGAGAUGCCACGUUCCAGGACCAGGAUGCACUGGCCCCAGGCAGGUGGCCUGGUGGAUCACAGCAAGGAGGCUGCCUCUGGGUGGAUCUGGGACACUGGUGGGUGGUAGGGGGCGGCGAGGAGUCCCCAGUACUACAUGUUCAAUUCUCUUUUAUUUGGCAGGGCUUGGAAUGGAACCCAGGGCCUUGAGCACGCUAGGCACGCGCUCUACCACGAGCUGCAUCCCAGCACCAUUUCUCUCUCCUUGCCAAAGUAUCUUCUCCUGUCUGCCCUUCUCUGUGCCUGAUGCCUGUUCUGGCCCCUAUGAGUAGGUGGCAUACCCAAGGACUGGCAGAGUCAGGAAGUGGAUGUGGUCAGGAGGGAUUCUGCCAGGCCCAGGAAGAGGUAGAGCAGCUGGGAAAACCAGAGAGUGGGGGACCUCCUCUCAGGGAGGCUCAGGAUAAGCAAGACCCUUCUAGGCUAGAAAGGGGAAGGAAUAUGCUCGAGGGUCAUGGCAGAAAGUGCCCAAGGAAUGCCAGCGUACCCACACCGUCAGCGGCCCACCCCUCCAUCCAUCCUCCUGUCCGUCUGUCCACCCAGUGUUUAAUCCUAACUACUCGCAUCAGACAACCAAGGACCAGAAGGUUGAGGACAGCUAACAAAGCUCAUGGUGACAGCAACCUCGCGGCCCCUUCCUCCUGUCCAUGGGAAAGAUCUUGGCUCCAGAGGUGCCAAGCUACCAGCCCUAUUGGCCCAUGGUCUAGGGGCCUUCAAGGUCAAGAUGAGAAGCAGUACUGGCCAAGGAGUCAGCAAGAUUGUCCCAUAUGCUGGGAGGGGCUCAGCAGCGUUCUGACCAAUCAGGGCUGAAUAUGGGACUGCUGGACCGGUAGGCACAGUGGCCAGACAGAUGCCCAGAGAGACAGCAACUGCUCCCAGCCCUUUCCCAAGUUGACCCCAGCUCUCUCCCAGCCGGGUUCUGCGAGAUCAUCACAUGUUUAUUGAGCACAUAUUGUGUGCACCAUGCCAUGCUGGGCACAGGGAAGAAAAAGUAAGAGAGAUCCGAGACAGAGCUGGUGGCAGCUGAUCUGAACAAUGCCUCGAAACUUACUGCCAGCUGCUGGGAGGACCCCACUGAAGAUGUGCUCAGCACAAUGUCUGGUAUGGUAAGCACCUGCUCUCUGCUGCCAGGGUCCCCGUCUUUAAAAGCUGGGAGACAUCCAACACGUCUACUCCUAGCUAUAGACCCCAAGGAGGGAAAACAGGGACUCAAGAAAAAUCUCGGACACAAAUAUUCAUGGCAACACUAUUGGCAAUAGCCAAAAGGUGGAUACAACCCAAGUGUCCAUGAACUGAUAAAUGGAUCAACAUGUGGUUUAUCUACACCAUGGACUAUCACACAGCCAUAAAAAGGAACAGAGUCCUGGCUCAUGCGACAACAUAGGCACACCUGGAAAACAAGCUGAGCGAAAGAUGCGACAGGAAAGGCCACACGCUGACUCCAUUCAUAUGAAAUAUCCUAACAGAGACGAAAUCCAUGGAGACAGAGAGCAUGUUAGUGGUUGUGGGGCUGGGGCAAGGGGAGAGUGGGAGUGUGAUGGGUGCCAUUUCUGUUGGGGGUGAAGAAAGAGUUCCGGAACUAGGUAUCAGUGACAGGCAACUCUAGGAAAUGUAUUUAAUGACCCUGAAUUGUAUACUUUAAAAUAGUCACACAGGGAAAUGUUCUGGCCUGUGCAUUUUCUCACAAUAAAAAAGAAACCACUUUUUUUGUUUGUCUGUGUGUGGUGCUGGGGAUUGAACCCAGGGCCUUGUGAAGGUGAGACAAGCACUCUUCCAGCUGGGCUAUGUCCCCAGUCCAAAAAAUGAUAUAAUUUUU
RNAcentral lists this long non-coding RNA (2490 nucleotides) under Ictidomys tridecemlineatus (thirteen-lined ground squirrel). Its description in RNAcentral is "lncRNA (ENSSTOG00000033347.1)". Lineage: Eukaryota; Metazoa; Chordata; Mammalia; Rodentia; Sciuridae. The record is from RNAcentral.